AUAAACUAGGAUUAGAUACCCUAUUAUAAGGAGCGAAAAAGAGGAGAAGCACUAAAACCAACAGGUUAAAACUUAAAGAGCAUGGCGGCGAGCCUAAUUUCUCAGGGGAAUUUACCAGGUAAUUGACAACCCACAAGAAGCCCCUCUCAGCCUUAUAGUUUGUAUGCCGCCGUCUUCAGGUAACACCUAAGGUCUUACCGGCCAUCCCUCAGAGAGAAGACAGGUCAUGGUGCAGCUAAUGGUUGUGUGCAAGGUGAGUUACAAUAAGAUACUGUUUUCUGCCAUAAACUUUAAAGCGUUUGUUAAGGAUGGACUUGAAAGUAAGAAAUAGGAAAGUAUUCUUUGAAUUGCUUUUAGGCCCGUGCACACAUCGCCCG
Molecule: ribosomal RNA, 377 nt
Filed under: Laemodonta octanfracta
Lineage: Eukaryota; Metazoa; Mollusca; Gastropoda; Ellobiida; Ellobiidae
Description: partial 12S ribosomal RNA
Source: RNAcentral